AGCGAACGCUGGCGGCAGGCCUAACACAUGCAAGUCGAACGAACCUUUCGGGGUUAGUGGCGGACGGGUGAGUAACACGUGGGAACGUGCCGUUAGGUUCGGAAUAACUCAGGGAAACGUGUGCUAAUACCGAAUGUGCUCUUCGGGGGAAAGAUUUAUCGCCUUUAGAGCGGCCCGCGUCUGCUUAGCUAGUUGGUUGAGGUAAUGGCUCACCAAGGCGACGAUCAGUAGCUGGUCUGAGAGGAUGAUCAGCCACAUUGGGACUGAGACACGGCCCAAACUCCUACGGGAGGCAGCCGCGGGGAAUCCUGCGAAAUGGGCGAAAGCCUGACGCAGCCAUGCCGCGUGAAUGAUGAAGGUCUUAGGAUUGUAAAAUUCUUUCACCGGGGACGAUACUGACGGUACCCGGAGAAGAAGCCCCGGCUAACUUCGUG
Molecule: ribosomal RNA, 434 nt
Filed under: uncultured bacterium
Lineage: Bacteria
Description: partial 16S ribosomal RNA
Rfam family: Bacterial small subunit ribosomal RNA
Source: RNAcentral